Molecule: long non-coding RNA, 3084 nt
Filed under: Lynx pardinus (Iberian lynx)
Lineage: Eukaryota; Metazoa; Chordata; Mammalia; Carnivora; Felidae
Rfam family: X-chromosome inactivation gene exon 4 (bases 6-131)
Source: RNAcentral
GAUCUUCCUCUGAAGAAUAGGCUUGUUGCUCUAUAGUGUUAGUGACCCAUUCCCUUUGACGAUCCCUAGGUGGAGAUGGGGCAUGAGGAUCCUCCAGGGGAAAAGCUCACUAUCACUGGGCAACAACCCUAGGCUAGGAGGCUUUACCAAGAUUCUUUCCUGAGCCCAGGUAGGAAGAUGAAGUCUCACAACAACCACCACACAUCAGAGGUGGGUAAGUUGUCCCUAAAAGCAUAAUAAGUAGCUUUUAAUUUUGAUCUUGUUUUACGUUGCACUUAGUUUUCCAUUAAGAUUGUUUCCAUUAUUAUCAACUGUGUAUGUUUUGGUCAAAACAGCUUCCUAACUAACCUGGGAAGCAACUGGGUGUGAGAUGGUUGAAAAUAAUGUGAAGACAGUAGUAGGCUGCAUGAGUUAGGAUGUUUAGGGUAGGACUAGUGUGUGGUAGAGGCUUAUAGUUAAAUUGUUCUUUUUUUUAAAUGUUUAUUUAUUUUUUAGAGAGAGAGAGACAGAGUGCGAGCAGGGGAGGGACAGAGAGAGAGGGAGACACAGAAUCCGAGGCAGGCUAUAGGCAUGGAGCCCGAUGCGGGUCUUGAACUCACCAACCUCAAGAACAUGACCUGAGCCAAAGUUGGAUGCUUAACCAACUGAGCCACCCAGGCUCCCCUAAAUUCUUUCUUUUUUUUUUUUUUUUUCAACGUUUAUUUAUUUUUGGGACAGAGAGAGACAGAGCAUGAACGGGGGAGGGGCAGAGAGAGAGGGAGACACAGAAUCGGAAACAGGCUCCAGGCUCCGAGCCAUCAGCCCAGAGCCCGACGCGGGGCUCGAACUCACAGACCGCGAGAUCGUGACCUGGCUGAAGUCGGACGCUUAACCGACUGCGCCACCCAGGCGCCCCUAAAUUCUUUCUUUAAGGAGAGCAUGGAGAACAACUGCUGCAUCUGCACCAUUUAUCAUGGCAUAUCAUCAUUUUGGACCCUAUGGUCUCCAGAGUCUUUCUUGAGGCCCUAAUGGGGAAUCUUGACAAUCAUUUACAUAUUUCAAGAUGCCUUGGGCUGUCUUUGAGAUAAAAUGCAAAACAAACUGUUUGCAAAGAUACAUAGGAGCUGUAUCUUUUUAUGCUGUACUUGCUGGUUGAUGGAACCUGACCAGAAAUGGCACAGUUAUCUGUCGCCACACAUCUAGGAUGUAGGGUCUAAAGAACCAGGACCCUGCAUACUCUAGGUUGGUGAUAAGAGAAGCUGAUUAGGGGGAUGUAGGUUGGGAGAUGGAGGUAAGCAUCAGUAAGUAGUAAACCCUGAUUAUAUAGAUUUUGUACAGAUUAUUCAACCAAAAGAAUAAGACUGGGAUUGAUGGUGUUUGCAGUGAUUCAGUGAGUGUUAUUAGGCAAGAUAGUUUCCUAUUUUUGCCAUAGUUUCCUAUUCUGUUGAAUGAAGAACAUGUGUUAGUUUUAUCUCUAAAGACAUAAAAACCUCAACUUUAUGUUUCUAAGCUUUGUAGAGACCCGUUUCUAUAGCUCAUUAAUUUGAAUUUUCCCAUAACUCUUGCCUAGUACUCAAUUAAUACUUCUUUAUGGCAUUUACAUUGUUUCCCUCUCAUUUUUUGUAGCUCCUGAUUGUUCCCUUCUUAUCUGCCAAAUCAUUGUAUCCCCAAAACAAUGCAGAGAGCAAGAAAUUUGAACACAUCAAAGGAAGAUCAACAUGCCUGGCAUGCUAACAUUUUAGAACAGCAGAAUGAAGUAAGUCGUUAGUGUUAUAAUCCUGUGAGGAUCACUUUAAAGCUAAUAGUUGUUUGUUCCAGGUUUGUAUAGGAUGAAGUAUGAUGGUUUAACGUGCAGGGGGUGCCAAAAGUGAGUUCCGAGGAUAACCAAUAACCUGUAUUACCAACUAGGUUCACUGAAGCAAUUCAAAGAUAUUACAGUCUGCAUACAGUUGUGUCAGAGUAAUUGAGUCUCACCUUGUUUCUUCUUAUCUUCACCGCAUAAAUGCCUCAAUACUCUUAGAGAUGUAAACUAUAGAAGCCUAAAACAAAAAAAAAUGUUUCUUUUUUUCCUGAAAUGUUUUUUUUUUCCUCCAUGGUUCUUUCUCACCUUCUCUUGUGAAAGCAUCUACUGCAGUUAAGAUUUAGUGUUCAAGGAAGCCCAGUCCCUGAAGUUGCCAUUAUAAUUGGGAAGGGUGUGAAAAUGAAGUCAGUUUUUUAAAGUGAUGGGGAAAGGUGAUGAAAUAAAGUGAGGGGAUUGACUAGAUGCUCUCUAAGGGCCCUUUAUCAUAAUAUUCACUCAUUUGUGGCAUCUUAUUUGGCUCUUUUGAAAAUCCUUGUAAACAAUUGAAGCAGGAUAUUAAAAGGUACACAUUAUAUUUAAAUCUUCUGCUACUCAAUAGGUGUAUGGCUUUUGUCAAUUUAGUUUGUGGUUAGCCUCGUAUGUGAGGCUUAAGUGAAAUGAUGUAUGUAAAGUGUUUAGUACAGUGUCUGGCACAUGGUAAGUAAAAGGCAACCCAAGAAGUUUUGUAAGUUCAUUUGACACAAUACAGGUGACCAUUAAUACCGUCUAGUGGGAGGCAGAGUUGGCAUGUUUUGAUUCUAUGUAAGAAAUUUGUAAGGUAAAAGUUUGUAAAUAGAAAACAUCUAUAUUGGUGGUGGUUGUUAUAAUAAUUAUUGUUAGUAAUAUAAAUAGUAUUGGUACUGAUGAUAGCUUAUAUUAAUUAUUAAUGCACUUUUUGGUUUUCUUUUGUUGUCUUCUUUUUGUGAUGCUUCUCAUAUGCCUGUUGUGCCCCUUACUUUAUCUUGUCUUUACUUCUUACCCUCUUCCUCUGAAUGUCUACCUUUGCUUACCUCUUUCACUCAUAAGUGUGUAUUUCUUUGUCUAUUUUUUUUCUUGAAUCUCUUUGGUUUUCCUUCUCUGUCUAAAGUGUGUCUCAGCCAUUCCAUGAUUCUCUUGUUAGUUUCUUCUCUGUGUAUCUUUGUCUCAUUUUCUUGUUCCUAAGAGUUGUCUGUGCCUUGUCUUGGAUGUCUCUCUCCAGUUUUUUCAUUUUGUUAGUGAUUCUCUUUGUUCUCCUAGAUCUGGCUCUUCUUUCACUGUUCUUUCCU